Molecule: ribosomal RNA, 409 nt
Filed under: bacterium
Lineage: Bacteria
Description: partial 16S ribosomal RNA
Rfam family: Bacterial small subunit ribosomal RNA
Source: RNAcentral
UGGGGAAUAUUGCACAAUGGGCGAAAGCCUGAUGCAGCGACGCCGCGUGAGGGAUGACGGCCUUCGGGUUGUAAACCUCUUUCAGCAGGGACGAAGCGCAAGUGACGGUACCUGCAGAAGAAGCAACGGCUAACUACGUGACAGCAGCCGCGGUAAUACGUAGGGUGCAAGCGUUGUCCGGAAUUACUGGGCGUAAAGAGUUCGUAGGCGGUUUGUCGCGUCGUUUGUGAAAACCAGCAGCUCAACUGCUGGCUUGCAGGCGAUACGGGCAGACUUGAGUACUGCAGGGGAGACUGCAAUUCCUGGUGUAGCGGUGAAAUGCGCAGAUAUCAGGAGGAACACCGGUGGCGAAGGCGGGUCUCUGGGCAGUAACUGACGCUGAGGAACGAAAGCGUGGGUAGCGAACAGG